AAGACCAUACUUUCAGGAUCAUUUCUAUAGUCUGAUCAGUACUAGAGAAGUUUCUCUGAACGAGUAGAGCAUGGAAACCACCAGGAGGAGGCGCAGCGUCCUCUUCUGAGCGUGAAGCCGGUCUCGGUGUCGCUUCGCUGCAACUGCCAUUUGCAAUCGAAGACCGUCCUUCUCUUCCUUUGGGAGAGUGAGAGGGAGAGGACAGUCUGAGCUGU
This 215-nucleotide small nucleolar RNA is filed under the name Prolemur simus (greater bamboo lemur). Its description in RNAcentral is "Small nucleolar RNA U3 (ENSPSMG00000019173.1)". It matches the Rfam family "Small nucleolar RNA U3". From Rfam's summary of the family: Small nucleolar RNAs (snoRNAs) are involved in the processing and modification of rRNA in the nucleolus. There are two main classes of snoRNAs: the box C/D class, and the box H/ACA class. U3 snoRNA is a member of the box C/D class. The record is from Rfam by way of RNAcentral. Lineage: Eukaryota; Metazoa; Chordata; Mammalia; Primates; Lemuridae.